RNAcentral lists this ribosomal RNA (2901 nucleotides) under Streptococcus pneumoniae GA13494. RNAcentral describes it as "bacterial LSU rRNA". It matches the Rfam family "Bacterial large subunit ribosomal RNA". Lineage: Bacteria; Bacillati; Bacillota; Bacilli; Lactobacillales; Streptococcaceae. The record is from RNAcentral.
UAAGUUAAUAAGGGCGCACGGUGGAUGCCUUGGCACUAGGAGCCGACGAAGGACGUGACAAACGACGAUAUGCCUUGGGUAGCUGUAAGUAAGCGAUGAUCCAGGGAUUUCCGAAUGGGGGAACCCAACAGGUAAUACCUGUUACCUACAUCUGUUAAGGAUGUGAGGAGGAAGACGCAGUGAACUGAAAACAUCUAAGUAGCUGUCAGGAAGAGAAAAGCAAAAGCGAUUGCCUUAGUAGCGGCGAGCGAAACGGCUAGAAGGGCAAACCGAAGAGUUUACUCUUCGGGGUUGUAGGACUGCAAUGUGGACUCAAAGAUUAUAGAAGAAUGAUUUGGGAAGAUCAGCCAAAGAGAGUAAUAGCCUCGUAUUUAAAAUAGUCUUUGUACUUAGCAGUAUCCUGAGUACGGCGGGACACGUGAAAUCCCGUCGGAAUCUGGGAGGACCAUCUCCCAACCCUAAAUACUCCCUAGUGACCGAUAGUGAACCAGUACCGUGAGGGAAAGGUGAAAAGCACCCCGGGAGGGGAGUGAAAUAGAACCUGAAACCGUGUGCCUACAACAAGUUCGAGCCCGUUAAUGGGUGAGAGCGUGCCUUUUGUAGAAUGAACCGGCGAGUUACGUUAUGAUGCGAGGUUAAGUUGAAGAGACUGAGCCGUAGGGAAACCGAGUCUGAAUAGGGCGCCUUAGUAUCAUGACGUAGACCCGAAACCAUGUGACCUACCCAUGAGCAGGUUGAAGGUGCGGUAAGACGCACUGGAGGACCGAACCAGGGCACGUUGAAAAGUGCUUGGAUGACUUGUGGGUAGCGGAGAAAUUCCAAACGAACUUGGAGAUAGCUGGUUCUCUCCGAAAUAGCUUUAGGGCUAGCGUCGACAUUAGAGAUUCUUGGAGGUAGAGCACUGUUUGGGUGAGGGGUCCAUCCCGGAUUACCAAUCUCAGAUAAACUCCGAAUGCCAAUGAAUUAUGGUCGGCAGUCAGACUGCGAGUGCUAAGAUCCGUAGUCAAGGGGAAACAGCCCAGACCACCAGCUAAGGUCCCAAAAUAAUUGUUAAGUGGAAAAGGAUGUGGGGUUGCACAGACAACUAGGAUGUUAGCUUAGAAGCAGCUAUUCAUUCAAAGAGUGCGUAAUAGCUCACUAGUCGAGUGACCCUGCGCCGAAAAUGUACCGGGGCUAAAACAAUUUACCGAAGCUGUGGAUACCUUUAUAGGUAUGGUAGGAGAGCGUUCUAUGUGUGAUGAAGGUAUACCGUGAGGAGUGCUGGAACGCAUAGAAGUGAGAAUGCCGGUAUGAGUAGCGAAAGACAGGUGAGAAUCCUGUCCACCGUAAGACUAAGGUUUCCAGGGGAAGGCUCGUCCGCCCUGGGUUAGUCGGGACCUAAGGAGAGACCGAAAGGUGUAUCCGAUGGACAACAGGUUGAUAUUCCUGUACUAGAGUAUGUAGUGAUGGAGGGACGCAGUAGGCUAACUAAAGCAGACGAUUGGAAGAGUCUGUCUAAGCAGUGAGGUGUGAAUUGAGUCAAAUGCUUAAUUCUAUAACAUUGAGCUGUGAUGGGGAGCGAAGUUUAGUAGCGAAGUUAGUGACGUCACACUGCCAAGAAAAGCUUCUAGCGUUUAAACAUACUCUACCCGUACCGCAAACCGACACAGGUAGUCGAGGCGAGUAGCCUCAGGUGAGCGAGAGAACUCUCGUUAAGGAACUCGGCAAAAUGACCCCGUAACUUCGGGAGAAGGGGUGCUGACUUAAAGUCAGCCGCAGUGAAUAGGCCCAAGCAACUGUUUAUCAAAAACACAGCUCUCUGCUAAAUCGUAAGAUGAUGUAUAGGGGGUGACGCCUGCCCGGUGCUGGAAGGUUAAGAGGAGUGCUUAGCGUAAGCGAAGGUAUGAAUUGAAGCCCCAGUAAACGGCGGCCGUAACUAUAACGGUCCUAAGGUAGCGAAAUUCCUUGUCGGGUAAGUUCCGACCCGCACGAAAGGCGUAAUGAUUUGGGCACUGUCUCAACGAGAGACUCGGUGAAAUUUUAGUACCUGUGAAGAUGCAGGUUACCCGCGACAGGACGGAAAGACCCCAUGGAGCUUUACUGCAGUUUGAUAUUGAGUGUCUGUACCACAUGUACAGGAUAGGUAGGAGUCUAAGAGAUCGGGACGCCAGUUUCGAAGGAGACGCUGUUGGGAUACUACCCUUGUGUUAUGGCCACUCUAACCCAGAUAGGUGAUCCCUAUCGGAGACAGUGUCUGACGGGCAGUUUGACUGGGGCGGUCGCCUCCUAAAAGGUAACGGAGGCGCCCAAAGGUUCCCUCAGAAUGGUUGGAAAUCAUUCGCAGAGUGUAAAGGUAUAAGGGAGCUUGACUGCGAGAGCUACAACUCGAGCAGGGACGAAAGUCGGGCUUAGUGAUCCGGUGGUUCCGUAUGGAAGGGCCAUCGCUCAACGGAUAAAAGCUACCCUGGGGAUAACAGGCUUAUCUCCCCCAAGAGUUCACAUCGACGGGGAGGUUUGGCACCUCGAUGUCGGCUCGUCGCAUCCUGGGGCUGUAGUCGGUCCCAAGGGUUGGGCUGUUCGCCCAUUAAAGCGGCACGCGAGCUGGGUUCAGAACGUCGUGAGACAGUUCGGUCCCUAUCCGUCGCGGGCGUAGGAAAUUUGAGAGGAUCUGCUCCUAGUACGAGAGGACCAGAGUGGACUUACCGCUGGUGUACCAGUUGUCUUGCCAAAGGCAUCGCUGGGUAGCUAUGUAGGGAAGGGAUAAACGCUGAAAGCAUCUAAGUGUGAAACCCACCUCAAGAUGAGAUUUCCCAUGAUUAUAUAUCAGUAAGAGCCCUGAGAGAUGAUCAGGUAGAUAGGUUAGAAGUGGAAGUGUGGCGACACAUGUAGCGGACUAAUACUAAUAGCUCGAGGACUUAUCCA